Molecule: ribosomal RNA, 445 nt
Filed under: uncultured Rothia sp.
Lineage: Bacteria; Bacillati; Actinomycetota; Actinomycetes; Micrococcales; Micrococcaceae
Description: bacterial SSU rRNA
Rfam family: Bacterial small subunit ribosomal RNA
Source: RNAcentral
CCUACGGGAGGCAGCAGUGGGGAAUAUUGCACAAUGGGCGCAAGCCUGAUGCAGCGACGCCGCGUGAGGGAUGACGGCCUUCGGGUUGUAAACCUCUGUUAGCAUCGAAGAAGCGAAAGUGACGGUAGGUGCAGAGAAAGCGCCGGCUAACUACGUGCCAGCAGCCGCGGUAAUACGUAGGGCGCGAGCGUUGUCCGGAAUUAUUGGGCGUAAAGAGCUUGUAGGCGGUUGGUCGCGUCUGCUGUGAAAGGCUGGGGCUUAACCCUGGUUUUGCAGUGGGUACGGGCUAACUAGAGUGCAGUAGGGGAGACUGGAAUUCCUGGUGGAGCGGUGGAAUGCGCAGAUAUCAGGAGGAACACCGAUGGCGAAGGCAGGUCUCUGGGCUGUAACUGACGCUGAGAAGCGAAAGCAUGGGGAGCGAACAGGAUUAGAUACCCUUGUAGUC